GGUUUCUCUCAGACCAAGAUUGAAUGUGAUGACAAGGGUGAUGGAUGGUGUGACAUGUGCUGCGGGCCCACAGAACCAGUUUUCUCUAGGUUAAGGCGUACGGUCCAGGCCUUCAGAGCAGUGGUCUGGCUGUUGGAAAACCCACUGAAUUCACAGUUGAUGCCAAGCAAGGAGGAAAAGCUCCUCUGAAAAUUAUAGCCCAGGAUGGUGAAGUCAAUUCUGUGGAUGUCCAGGUUAAGGAUAAUGGCAACAGCACAUACACCUGCACCUACACCCCACGUAAGCCUGUGAAGCAGACUGUGAUGGUCUCCUGGGGAGACUGAGAGUCCAUUCAGGGUGAGUAUGCACUCACACACACUCUCACUUUCACUCUUGCAUGCAGGGUUUGUCUUUUCUUCUCACUGAAAAGUCUCUUGAGUUUUGGUGUUUGUGCCCACAGAUGAAUAUCGGAGCAGGCUGUCAUCCAACAAGGUGAAGGUCUCUGACCCUGGAGUGGCAAAGACGGGCCUCAAAGCCUUCCAGCCGACAUACUUCACUGUUGACUGCUCAGAGUCUGGUCAAGGUAAAGCUCCAUAAAACUGUGUG
RNAcentral lists this long non-coding RNA (585 nucleotides) under Oreochromis niloticus (Nile tilapia). RNAcentral's name for it is "lncRNA (ENSONIG00000041346.1)". The record is from RNAcentral. Lineage: Eukaryota; Metazoa; Chordata; Actinopteri; Cichliformes; Cichlidae.